RNAcentral lists this long non-coding RNA (224 nucleotides) under Phoenix dactylifera (date palm). Its description in RNAcentral is "long non-coding RNA (PDAC_LNC012073)". Lineage: Eukaryota; Viridiplantae; Streptophyta; Magnoliopsida; Arecales; Arecaceae. The record is from RNAcentral.
UAUGCCUGGAUGUUUAAAGUUUAUGCCUAUGCAUAGCGGGUAGAUGGAAGUGUGCAUAAGAUGCGAGUUGCCAAUCGAAAGAGACCUAAACUAAAACCUCCUCAAUCAAGUCGAGAGUGAACCAACAUGAGCGGGUCAUAUUAGAUUAAUUGAUCUAAUUGGUGUCUAGGAAAGCAUGAAAGGUGGUUACUUAAUUAGGACCUUACUCUCAGAGUAAGGAGAGC